RNAcentral lists this ribosomal RNA (301 nucleotides) under uncultured bacterium. RNAcentral's name for it is "partial 16S ribosomal RNA". It matches the Rfam family "Bacterial small subunit ribosomal RNA", at positions 509 to 807 of the family's 1533-position model. The record is from RNAcentral.
CAGUAGCCACGGUAAUACAGAGGAUGCAAGCGUUAUCUGGAAUGAUUGGGCGUAAAGCGUCUGUAGGUGGCUUUUCAAGUCCGCCGUCAAAUCCCAGGGCUCAACCCUGGACAGGCGGUGGAAACUACCAAGCUGGAGUACGGUAGGGGCAGAGGGAAUUCACGGUGUAGCAGUGAAAUGCGUAGAUAUCGUGAGGAAGACCAGUGGCGAAGGCGGAUCUCUGGACAGUUCCUGACGCUGAUGCACGAAGGCCAGGGGAGCAAACGGGAUUAGAUACCCCUGUAGUCCCUGUCUCUUAUAC